Molecule: ribosomal RNA, 489 nt
Filed under: uncultured bacterium
Lineage: Bacteria
Description: bacterial SSU rRNA
Rfam family: Bacterial small subunit ribosomal RNA
Source: RNAcentral
GAUAGAACGCUAGCGGGAGGCUUAACACAUGCAAGUCGAGGGGCAGCAUAGGGUAGCAAUACUCUGAUGGCGACCGGCAAACGGGUGAGUAACGCGUAUGCAACCUACCCUGUACAGGGGGAUAACCCGGAGAAAUUCGGACUAAUAUCCCGUAAUAAUAUCCGGAGGCAUCUUUGGAUAUUUAAAGUUCCGACGGUACGGGAUGGGCAUGCGUAACAUUAACUGGGUUGGUAAGGUAACGGCUUACCAAGGCUAUGAUGUUUAGGGGUCCUGAGAGGGUGGUCCCCCACACUGGUACUGAGACACGGACCAGACUCCUACGGGAGGCAGCAGUGAGGAAUAUUGGUCAAUGGGCGCAAGCCUGAACCAGCCAUCCCGCGUGCAGGAAGACGGCCCUAUGGGUUGUAAACUGCUUUUCCAGGGAGAGAAACUUACGCACGUGUUGCGUGACUGACGGUACCCUGGGAAUAAGCAUCGGCUAACUCCGUG